GCCCAGCCCAGCUCUUGUGCUUUUAUUUGUCAACACUUAUUUUUGUUUCCUGACACAAAGUGGAAACAUUUGGUCAGUGUUUUGGCUCGUGUCCCUGCUGUUUUCCCUGUCUCCUGCAGUGUCACAUGGAAGGACAUUCCAGGCUUUAUUUUUUGUCAUUCCUGACAGGCAUGAAGCUGUAAAAUAUUUGGGUGGCUGCUAACAGUGUUUUAAUCCCAGGAGAUGUUUUUUUCCCUGGCUCCAGGGCUGCCCUUUGGGUGAGGGAAUGUUCUCAAAACCUUCUGCAGAGCUGCUAAGAGCCAGGGCAGGCUGGAUCCAGGUGCUGUGAAUCCCUGUGCUUGUUCCUACUCCCAAGCUGCUCUUCCAUGCCUCUUUUCAGGUAGUUGAAGCUGAAAGAAUUGGUUUUGAACAGAGGCUUGGAGCCUGCCUGCUCGAGGGAACUUCACUGCACCCUUGAAGAAUUACCUAAUGUGGUGAGAUUCACUUGUCUGGUUACCUAAGUGCUUUGUUCCUGCUUUUCCAGAGAGGAAUUGCUGACUCCCAUCAAUGUGUGCUCUGAAAUUGUGUUUCCUGGAAUCUGCAUCCCUUCCCAAAUGCCAGAAGUCCAUUAGAGUAGAGCAAAAGACAUUAAAAAAGCCCCUUAGUUUAAUACUUUCACCUGCAGGGUUGAUAAAAAUUCCAUCCUUGCCCCAGAACUUCCUCUGUGACAUCUGCACAAUUCCAUUCCUCCCACAAACCAGCCACAAGGAUCCUUCCUGCUCUGGUUCCUGCUUAAAGCCCCUCAGGGCAGCUGCUGCCUGAAUAUUUACUCCAGCCAGCCCCUGGGGGUCAGGAAGGAACAGGAAGAUUUUUGGGGCAGUAAAACACCGGAUUUGUCUCCUCACACCUGGAGGUGUUGCAGCUUUUUGACCCCUUUGCUGCCCUCAAGAUAAGAAUCGGAGAUGCUCAACAAGUGCCUGCUGAGAUAUUGUCCCAGAAGUAUUCAGUGCACCUCAGCAAGCUGCAAAUGCAGGCUCGUGGGGGAAGAGCGAUACAAAGCAAACAGGGAAGUGCAGACAGAAAAUGCAUUAGAAAUGUUUGGAAAAGGCACUCCAAGGUCUCCCCAGGCUGGUCAGAGAGGAAAGUUUUCCAGGAUUGCAGCAGGCUGCUGUUAUUCCCUGGGCUGCUUUUUUGGAGUUUGUACCCAGCCCUACAUCGAUUGUGGAGAGGUGGCCCAGCUCUUUCAGCGAGUCCCAGACUCUGGGGUGCUGUUUCUGCAGCCUGCUGUGUGCUCAGACUGCUCUGCUGGAUUGCUGAGCCCUGGAUUCCUGACAGGCACACGGAAAAGGGAAAUUAACAGUGGAUAAAGUGAAUUAAAGGGAUCUUUGCCAUCCUGUCAGUGGAGAGAGGAGCAGACCUGGAGAGUUUUUUAUCUGGAAGAGAGCACGUGGUGGAAAUAAGUGAUGCUGGAGCCUUGCAGGCCCUGUGUCACAGCAAGCAAAUUGACCUUGUGCUUAAAUGGUUAUUGUGGGCAUUCCGAGGGGGAUAUUGGCUGCAAAUGUGUUACUGGCAUAAUUAAAAUGUAGUCCCUGCCUGGGUUUUUAUUCCUGGGAAUGGUGCAGAUCAGCACGGGAGUGGCAGGAGUGGGAGGAAGCUGCAGCUCCUCCUUGCCUCAGUCUUUACCACUACGAUUAAUUUUCAUUACAGAGGAAAUGAAAUUCAGCCCAGGAGACCCUCUUUGAUUCCCAGGGAGGAAAAGUGUCUUGCUUUUAUGGCAGGAAACUGCACUUUAAACUGCUUUUAGAUCCCCUUGCAGGCUGGUUUACACUUCAAGCCCCAGUUUGUCAGCUGGCAGGUACCUGCUGCUUCCCCUGGGCACCCUUCUCUGUCUGCCUUUGGUUUCCUCCUCUCCGUGCUCCAGGGCACCAGGCAGCUUCUAAUUAAUCAGGGUCAGGAAGAAAAUUUCCCUGGGGAAAAGUUGUUUUCUCUCCACCUGCUUGCAAAGCUUUCUGAGCCUGCCAGCAGAGCUGCUGGGCAGAGAGGGUAGAUGAUGGUAAAUGCCUAAACCAGCCUGAAAAUGUCAGGGCUUGAGCUCUUCCCAACAUCCCCUGGACUUUUGUGGCUUUCCCUGCUGCUUCUGAGCUAACUAGAGAUGUGUUGGAGUCAGCUCUGGUCACUGGGAAAUAUUGGCUGGAAGGGGAAUAAGUUGCCAGUGGAGAUUUGGAGGAGUUUCUGUGGAAGGUUUGGGGAACUCCAUCCUGCUGGUGAACAUGGAAUUCCCAGUAACAGUGCUCCAGGUGCAGGCAGAGUGGGGAACUUGGGGAUGAUGGGUCUGGUUUUAGUUUAGUGACCACCAGGGCAGGCUGAGAGAAAGAACAG
Long non-coding RNA from Cyanistes caeruleus (blue tit), 2358 nucleotides. The record is from Ensembl. Lineage: Eukaryota; Metazoa; Chordata; Aves; Passeriformes; Paridae.